Nerophis lumbriciformis (worm pipefish) is the source of this 2075-nucleotide long non-coding RNA. RefSeq lists it as uncharacterized. NCBI's taxonomy places the organism in Eukaryota, Metazoa, Chordata, Actinopteri, Syngnathiformes, Syngnathidae. The record is from RefSeq and is a predicted model, not a curated record.
UGUCCAGGGUGUACCCCGCCUUCCGCCCGAACGCAGCUGAGAUAGGCUCCAGCACCCUCCGCGACCCCAAAAAAAGGGACAAGCGGUAGAAAAUGGAUGGUUUUUUAAAUGUACCGUAUUUUUCGGAGUAUAAGUCGCACCGGCCGAAAAUGCAUAAUAAAGAAGGAAAAAAACAUAUAAGUCGCACUGGAGUAUAAGUCGCAUUUUUUGGGGAAAUGUAUUUGAUAAAACCCAACACCAAGAAUAGACAUUUGAAAGGCAAUUUAAAAUAAAUAAAGAAUAGUGAACAAGAGGCUGAAUAAGUGUACGUUAUAUGAGGCAUAAAUAACCAACUGAGAACGUGCCUGGUAUGUUAACGUAACAUAUUAUGGUAAGAGUCAUUCAAAUAACUAUAACAUAUAGAACAUGCUAUACGUUUACCAAACAAUCUGUCACUCCUAAAUCGCUAAAUCCCAUGAAAUCUUAUACGUCUAGUCUCUUACGUGAAUGAGCUAAAUAAUAUUAUUGGAUAUUUUACGGUAAUGUGUUAAUAAUUUCACACAUAAGUCCCUCCUGAGUAUAAGUCGCACCCACGGCCAAACUAUGAAAAAAACUGUGACUUAUAGUCCGAAAAAUACGGUAUACUUAAUGAUUGUGAUAACUUAUCAAAGUUAAGAUGGAGUUGUUUUUUUUACAGUGGUUGGCAUUUGUACCUUAAAUUGCGUCAAGUCAUUUUUAGUAUUUUCUGUAGUAUUUUUAGACCUGUGUGACAGUUUGGAAUGUUAAAAUGUUACUUCCUGUGCAGUUGUUAGAGGCUUUAUAAUGGUGACAGUUUGACCAUUGAACAGAUCAUUUCUAUGUCCAUUCAUUCCUGUGGUUGAAAGAGGUUCCACUGUACUAUUUUAUAUUAUAUUAUUAUCCAACAAAAAAAGAUGGUUUAACACAUGAUGCGGGAGAGUGUUGGUGGUUCAAAUACUGACCUAAUGCUUUGAGAGCAAGCGUGGAAAAGAGGAUCAGCAGAACCGGAACCAAAUACUGGAGAGUCACUACAGUCAGGUAGCAAAACACACGUGUAACCUGGACACACACACACACACACACAUAUUUAUUAUUUGUUUUUCUGUAUAUUCUAUCAAUCUAUUAUCUGACCUUCCUCUGAAUAUCAAUGGCGGCGAUACGACCGGCCUCCUUCUUCAUCUGCUCCACCCACUUUUGGGCAAUGUUGAGGUAGGCCUGCAGGUGGUAGCGUGUGAGCGCGAGCCGCAGGACGCACAACAUCACAAUGAUCCACAAGCGCAUGCUGUCGAAGACGUCGCUGGAUACCCUGCGAGCGUGAGCGGCGCGUUAGCGAGGAAGUCCCUGGCGAUGGGUUUGAUCCACAGGAUCACCACCACCACCGGAGAUAGGAAGCUCAUGUGCAGCAGAAUCCUGCAGGAGGCGUUCAAGUUAAUGCUCUGGUUUUCGACUUACUGCUGUGGAAUGCUUUAAACCACGCACUGGAUGAGGGGUCGUUCCGAGUUCAUCUGCACUGCAUCCAGGAUACAGUGCGAAGAUAACGGUGAGGACACACCAGAUGGCGCCGAUGUUGACCUCCUUGCUGGCGUCCACCACACUGCAGUAACACUCUGUGAAAAGGAAGACGCCGAUGGCGUAAACAGAAAAGUCCACCAGCCACUGGUACUCCAGGAAGAAACGCAACACUAAGGAAAAUAAGAAGAAAACAUUUUACUUGUGUUGUUGAAGUGACAUUAUAGGCUACGGUGUAAAUAACAAGUGUUAUUCCAACCGAGGGCAUCGAUGGCGUUGACUGGUGCUUUUUCCAAGUGGAGGUCGAUGUCUUUUGGCACAGUGAGAGGUUUGUUUUCUCCAUUUUGUCUCCUGGUGAAAAAAACAUGACUUUUUAAAAGAUCCAUAUGCUUUUAAAAAAAGGUCCCAUAUUAUGCAAAAGUGACUUUUUAAUAAUGUUCUUUGAACAGUAAUGUCUUUAGAGCCUCUGACCCACCUAACUAGAUGAGCCUACCACUUAAAGAAAUACUGGUUUUCCUGAACAUAGGCCUGACAUUGGAAGCACAUUUAGGAAUUUUCCUAAAGUACCA